GAUGAACGCUGGCGGCAUGCCUAAUACAUGCAAGUCGGACGAGGAUGUUUCUACAUCCUAGUGGCGAACGGGUGAGUAACACGUAGGGAACCUGCCCCUAAGACGAGGAUAACUACUGGAAACGGUAAGCUAAUACUGGAUAGGAUAAGUUGACGCAUGUUGGCUUAUUUAAAGGUGCCUAUAAAGCACCGCUUAGGGAUGGCCCUGCGGCGCAUUAGCUAGUUGGUGGGGUAACGGCCUACCAAGGCGACGAUCCGUAGCGGGUCUGAGAGGAUGAUCCGCCACACUGGGACUGAGACACGGCCCAGACUCCUACGGGAGGCAGCAGUGGGGAAUUUUGGACAAUGGGCGCAAGCCUGAUCCAGCCAUGCCGCGUGAGUGAAGAAGGCCUUCGGGUUGUAAAGCUCUUUCAGGUGGAAAGAAAACGCAUGGGUCAAUACCCUGUGUGGAUGACGGUACCAUCAGAAGAAGCACCGGCUAACUACGUG
RNAcentral lists this ribosomal RNA (488 nucleotides) under uncultured bacterium. Its description in RNAcentral is "bacterial SSU rRNA". It matches the Rfam family "Bacterial small subunit ribosomal RNA", at positions 28 to 507 of the family's 1533-position model. The record is from RNAcentral.